CUACGUGCCAGCAGCCGCGGUAAUACGUAGGGGGCAAGCGUUAUCCGGAUUUACUGGGUGUAAAGGGAGCGUAGACGGAUGUGCAAGCCAGAUGUGAAAACCCGGGGCUCAACCCCGGGACUGCAUUUGGAACUGUGCGUCUAGAGUGCUGGAGAGGUAAGUGGAAUUCCUAGUGUAGCGGUGAAAUGCGUAGAUAUUAGGAGGAACACCAGUGGCGAAGGCGGCUUACUGGACAGUAACUGACGUUGAGGCUCGAAAGCGUGGGGAGCA
RNAcentral lists this ribosomal RNA (270 nucleotides) under uncultured bacterium. Its description in RNAcentral is "partial 16S ribosomal RNA". It matches the Rfam family "Bacterial small subunit ribosomal RNA", at positions 501 to 770 of the family's 1533-position model. The record is from RNAcentral.